This 18-nucleotide microRNA is filed under the name Corchorus olitorius. Its description in RNAcentral is "cin-miR-4001e-". Lineage: Eukaryota; Viridiplantae; Streptophyta; Magnoliopsida; Malvales; Malvaceae. The record is from RNAcentral.
AGUUGAUCAUAUAAUUUU